Molecule: ribosomal RNA, 253 nt
Filed under: uncultured bacterium
Lineage: Bacteria
Description: partial 16S ribosomal RNA
Rfam family: Bacterial small subunit ribosomal RNA
Source: RNAcentral
UACAGAGGGUGCGAGCGUUAAUCGGAAUUACUGGGCGUAAAGCGCACGUAGUCGGCUUUGCAAGUCGGGUGUGAAAUCCCCGGGCUCAACCUGGGAACUGCAUCCGAGACUGCAUUGCUAGAGUAUGGGAGAGGGAAGCGGAAUUUCUGGUGUAGCAGUGAAAUGCGUAGAUAUGCGGAGGAACACCGAUGGCGAAGGCAAUCCCCUGGGCCUGCACUGACGCUCAUGCACGAAAGCGUGGGGAGCAAACAGG